This 73-nucleotide transfer RNA is filed under the name Escherichia coli. RNAcentral's name for it is "tRNA-Gly". It matches the Rfam family "tRNA". From Rfam's summary of the family: Transfer RNA (tRNA) molecules are approximately 80 nucleotides in length. Their secondary structure includes four short double-helical elements and three loops (D, anti-codon, and T loops). The record is from RNAcentral. Lineage: Bacteria; Pseudomonadati; Pseudomonadota; Gammaproteobacteria; Enterobacterales; Enterobacteriaceae.
GCGGGAAUAGCUCAGUUGGUAGAGCACGACCUUGCCAAGGUCGGGGUCGCGAGUUCGAGUCUCGUUUCCCGUC